Molecule: small nucleolar RNA, 127 nt
Organism: Myripristis murdjan (pinecone soldierfish)
Lineage: Eukaryota; Metazoa; Chordata; Actinopteri; Holocentriformes; Holocentridae
Source: Ensembl
AUGCACAAUGCAUUGUCCUGCUCUGUCCUUAUGCGAGCUGUGAUAUUUCUGUUGUGCCAGAAAAACUGGAGGUAAAUUAGCAGAGUGGCUACUUUGUGUCACCUCUGCCAGUCCCCUUCACACACAU